GUCUGGCUUGUCCACGCCCUUAACAAUGGAAUGCAAAACAAAAUAAUGGUUAUUCUAAAUACUCUGGAAAACAUAAUAGCUAUCUGCUGGGUAGUGUUUAACUGAACCGCGUGAACGGAACCACGAGCCCUUAAUUUUUAUUUUAAUAACGUUUCUGUUGCAAGCUGGACCGAUGUUUCUGCAGCUGACUGGAACGCGAAUCCUGCAGGCCCGAAGGAAUGAAUGAGUGAAACGCACUGUGUGGCCAGAAGGGGGCGCUGUUGGAGUUGACGGUCUCUGAUGACGACCAAUCUUCAAGACGUAUUUCGGAGGUCGUCCGGGUCGCAGUUGGCCAGGAAGCCGGUGACGGCCUCAGACACCUCCUCAUUGGACAGCACGUCCCACAGACCAUCGCUGCCCAUCACCAGCACGUCAUCGGCCCCGUGCUCGUACUGCGUCAGCGGGUACACCUUCACCUGCCGGGGGGCACAGACCAGUCGACUCCCAAGGACCAUAUGCCUUCUCUCCAGGUGCAGGGCUGGAAUCAGCACUUUCCUCUCGGCGACAUAAUGCAGCUCAGCGCGAAAACGGGCUCGAUCCCUUCCUCAUGACCGCAUCGCCUCCCACACAAACACAGAUUUACAGCUCGGACAAAUCAAAAUGGCUCCCCGGCGCUUUCAGAGGGCGCCCCGCGGAGAUCUCGAAAGUUUCAACACUUGAAAGAAC
Molecule: long non-coding RNA, 705 nt
Organism: Conger conger (European conger)
Lineage: Eukaryota; Metazoa; Chordata; Actinopteri; Anguilliformes; Congridae
Exons: 4
Source: RefSeq, a predicted model, not a curated record